GCCAGAAUGAGUGGUGAUGACAUGAGGAUUGUGGUACAUGAUUAAGUGGGGUGUGUGAUGAUCAUCAUGAAUUAUGAAAAAAAAAAAAAAAAGGGGGGGGUGAGGGGAAGUACAACUGGCUUAGAUGGAGACUGCUAAUGUGUCAUGUUGGGAGAUCUGCAUAGAAGUCCUAUUGGUUUGGGCUUUAUUUGGUCUGAAAAGAGAAUAAAUUGUGUUGUCUUUUCUUCUUUCUCUCUCUCUCUCUCUCUCUUUUUUUUUUUUUUUUUUUUUUUUGGCAGAGGAUCUUUGUAGGGAAGCUGGGAUCUGACAUGGUUUGGUUCCUGCCAUUGUGUGGUAUGUACCUUGGGCUGAUGGGAGCAAAGGGAACACUGGGACACCUGUGCCUUCAGCUGCUCACCUGCAGCCCAGGCCUGCCAUGGCAGCUCACAGCUGCUCUGCUGUGUGCUGUGGUUUCCACCUACCUGGGGUGGUUGGGCUUGGCUAUAUACUCAUGAAAACUACUAGAUUGACAAUGGCAGAGAAUAAAGUUCUGGGCGGGGAUUGCAUCUGUGAACAUCUCAGGAGACAGGCAAGGAGCUUCAGGGCUGUAGCUUGCGGGGCCUCAUUGUUUGGGAAUGCUGCAUAA
This 625-nucleotide long non-coding RNA is filed under the name Anas platyrhynchos platyrhynchos (common mallard). Its description in RNAcentral is "lncRNA (ENSAPLG00000019634.1)". The record is from RNAcentral. Lineage: Eukaryota; Metazoa; Chordata; Aves; Anseriformes; Anatidae.